UACGAAUGGGGCUAGCGUUGCUCGGAAUCACUGGGCGUAAAGCGCACGUAGGCGGCUUGUUAAGUCAGGGGUGAAAUCCUGGAGCUCAACUCCAGAACUGCCUUUGAUACUGGCGAGCUUGAGUUCGGGAGAGGUGAGUGGAACUGCGAGUGUAGAGGUGAAAUUCGUAGAUAUUCGCAAGAACACCAGUGGCGAAGGCGGCUCACUGGCCCGAUACUGACGCUGAGGUGCGAAAGCGUGGGGAGCAAACAGG
This 253-nucleotide ribosomal RNA is filed under the name uncultured bacterium. RNAcentral's name for it is "partial 16S ribosomal RNA". It matches the Rfam family "Bacterial small subunit ribosomal RNA", at positions 524 to 776 of the family's 1533-position model. The record is from RNAcentral.